AGAAUAUAGACUUUGGCUCUAGCAUCAUGUUAAAGUAAGAAUACUUCCCUGCUCGGGGAGAUGGCCGAGUGGACUAAAGCGGCGGAUUGCUAAUCCGUUGUACGAUCAUUCGUACCGAGGGUUCGAAUCCCUCUCUCCCCG
RNAcentral lists this transfer RNA (141 nucleotides) under Isoetes hypsophila. Its description in RNAcentral is "tRNA-Ser". The stretch from base 55 to 141 matches the Rfam family "tRNA". From Rfam's summary of the family: Transfer RNA (tRNA) molecules are approximately 80 nucleotides in length. The record is from RNAcentral. Lineage: Eukaryota; Viridiplantae; Streptophyta; Lycopodiopsida; Isoetales; Isoetaceae.